This 470-nucleotide ribosomal RNA is filed under the name uncultured bacterium. Its description in RNAcentral is "partial 16S ribosomal RNA". It matches the Rfam family "Bacterial small subunit ribosomal RNA", at positions 28 to 507 of the family's 1533-position model. The record is from RNAcentral.
GACGAACGCUGGCGGCGUGCUUAACACAUGCAAGUCGAACGGUUAACGAGGGAGCUUGCUCCCUCCGGACCAGUGGCGAACGGGUGAGUCACACGUAAGCAAUCUCCCCCGAACUCUGGGAUAAGCGAUGGAAACGACGUCUAAUGCCGGAUACGACGCGUGACGGCAUCCUCCCCGCGUAGAAAGAACUUCGUAUGGGGAGGAGAUGGGGCGCUUUCAGCUUGUGGGGGAGGUAAGGGCUCACCAAGGCGACGACGGGUAGCCGGCCUGAGAGGGUGACCGGACACGCUGGGACUGGGACACGGCCCAGCCUAGUACGGGAGGCAGCAGUGGGGAAUAGUGCACAAUGGGAGGAAGCCUGAUGCAGCAACGCCGCGUGAGGGAAGACGGCACUCGGGUUGUAAACCUCUUUUAGCAGGGAAGAAGCGAAAGUGACGGUACCUGAAGAAAAAGCACCGGCUAACUACGUG